ACCUGGUUUCAUGGUUUGGUCUCUGGAAUGAGGUGUUUCAAAUGGGCAUUAGGCACGAGUAUUUUUUUCACAUGUAGGAAAAGACUUGAGGUGGUCAACUCACUGGUGCCUUCAAGACAUACCAUGACCUAACAGCAACACUUUUCAGAGGGAAGGCAACUCUGCCCAGUUGGGGACCACCUGCUCUCUACAUAAUGAUGGCUCUUUCUCCAAACAUGUGUGGCACUUCUGGUUCAGCGUGGCUUUGCAAACACUGCAUACCAGGAAUACACAGUAUAAAAUAUCUUUGGAGAGAACAUAUGUGAUUGAAAAAGACCCACUCCCCAAGUAGCCUGGAUAAUGAAAAUAAGGAAAGAUUGAGGAAGAACACCAGAAGAGCAGCCCUUUACAUGGGAGGGGGCUUUUCCCCUAGGGGAAAAUAUCUACCAUCCUUUAACCUGAUCUCCGCAUCAUACCAUUUGAGAAGACAAGGUGUCAUACAGGUGCUUUAAUCCCUAUCUUUCAGUGGGGAGCAAUUAUUGUAAUGGACAGAUUUCUAGGGUCAGGGCAGGAAGGAGUGAAGAAUCUGGUACAAGUGUGCUGCUUUUUCCCUUGUGUUGUAUAUCCUCCUGAAACACAGACACCUGCUUGGUGCUGAGUUCAUGCCCAGGACUGUUGCUUGAACCAAAAUCUCUUUUUCUCUCUCUCACUCUGACUCUCUCUCACUUCACUUCUCUCUCCUUCAGUUUCUCUUGAAUCCUCCUGCCCCAAGGUUAUCUUUGGUAAGCCUGGAUGACAUAUCUCAGCCAGGAUAUCAGUCGAAUUGUUUAUAAAACAUGUUCCCUCCAUCUUCCAAUCCCCUAUCAAAUAUACAAGCAGUGGUCCAGAAAGAACUCCUCUCUUCGUAUAGAGACAUACCAACUUGGAUAUCCUACCCCCACUCUUCACAUUGUCAGCCCAGCAUGGUGACCCGCUGACCACCUCAUAUGUACUGCUGUAUAUGUUGUCCCAUAUUUGACUCAGAGAUCAACACAUUUUCAACCACGUUCACAUGAGAGCCCUACCAAGAAUUAGCUUACCUACAGAAGACCCCACAUGAAUGAUCAGGUCUUUUGGAUUUGUUGGGGAGGUGGAUCUCUGGACUUGUGCUUCAGAGAUUUAGGAAAUGAAGUCUGUGACUCUCCAUGUCUCAGUGAAUUGGCAUCUGAACACUAGUCUGAGCUCCCUUAAGCAUGGCCUGCCUGCUAAUGGGCCAGAGCACGUGUUUUCUGUCAUCCAAAACCAGUAUCUAUUUGGGACACUACUAAUCCUGCUCUACACAAUAUAUUGGCAGGUCCAGGUUUUCCUCUUCACCAACAGGGAAACCUCAAGACCCUCCGAUUGAAUCCGUCACCACAGGACACAUGGAGGAUCAGAAGAGAGACCCUUCUUCCCUUCCUAACCAUUGUGGACACCACACACAAGCUGGCAGUGGCCCUAGUCACCACACUUAGCUUGCCCACCCAGAGAGAUAGGCCUUCAGCUUAUCAACAUGUGAAACAUCCACCAGAAAUAUCUCAGCUUCAUGCUCAUAAAAUUCCUUUCCUUUUGAUGGCUAGCAUGUGAUUUCAGCUAUUGACAUGUAUAUUCUGUAGUGUGGAGUUGUAAUUUCACCCAUUGGAAUAUUUUCUUCAGGAGUGAUAUCUAGGACCUCACACUUGGUUGAAGGUUGAGGGGCUUGGUUUCAUUUUUUGAGCUCUGGAAUGAGGUGUUUCAUAUGAGGAUCAAGCACAAGUCUUGUUUCAUGUCUAGGAAAAGAUUGAGGUUGUCAGCUCAAUGGUCCCUAAAUAUACACCAUGGUCAAACAGCAAGACUGUACAAUUGAUUUUUAGCCCAGGAGCCUGAUGAGAGUAGUGGCCAUGAGGCAAAAGAUGGAGAUAAUACAGUUCCUCAAAUUGUACCAACCAUCUGAUGGAUCAUCCUUCACUUCAGUAUCAACAUAACUCCAGAAAAAAUCUCAGGGUGCCCAUCAACCAUUCCUCGAAGUGUGAUGGUGAGAAUUUCCCACUUGUGGCCCAUCAUGCCCCUCUCCUCUCAAAGAGAGGCUAUUGUGUCACAAGGCUCAAUGGGCAUCCUGCCAUUGCCAUUGCAACCAGUUUGCCUGGACCUUUCAUAGGGAAGCCAACUCUGCCCACUCUGGGCCCACCUUCACUAUACAUAAUGAUGGUUCUUUACCUGAACAUGUGUGGCAAUUCAGGGUCAAUGUGAUUUUUCACUGCAUCCCAGGAAUACAUGUUACAUAAUUUCAUUUGUAAUGAAAAUACGUGAUUUAAAAAGUCCCACUAAUCAAGGAGCCUGGAUAAUGAAAUGAAAGAUCAGUGAGGAAGAACACCACAUGGGCACCCCUUUACAUGGGAAGGGGCUUUUAUCCUUAGGGAAAGUAUUUACUGUCCUUCAACCUGAUUUACAAAUCAUGCCAUUUGAGAAGAUAAGGAUGCCAAAGAGGGGCUUUAACCCCUAUUUUCCGGCAGGGAGCAGUGAUAGUAAUGGACACAUUUUUAGAGUCAGGGUAAGAAGGAGUGAAAAUCUUGUACAAGAGUGCUGGUUUUUCCCUUGUGGUGGAUAUCCUCCUGAAACACAGACACCGGCUUAGCAAUGAGAUUGUGCACUGGACUGUUGCCUGAAUCAAAAUCUCUUUCUCUCUCUCUCUUGCUCUCUCUCAAAUUCUCCCUCCUUCACUUUCCCCGAAUCUUCCUGCUCCAAGUUUACAUGUGGUGAACCUGGAUGACCUAUCUCAGACAGGAUAGCAGUCCAAGUCUUUACACAUUUUCCCUCCAUCUUCUGAUCCCUUAUCAAAUAAUCAAGUGGUGGUCCAGAAAGCACUCCUCUGUUGUUAUACAGACAUUCCAACUCAUCCAGACUACCCCCACUCUUCCCAUUUUCAGCCUUUCACUGUGACCCUCUGACCACCUCAUAUGUACUGUGGUCUAUGUGGUCCCAUAUUUCACUCAGAGAUAAACACAUUUUCAUACACAUUCACAUGAAGACUCCUGAAAGAUUUAGAUUACCUGAAGCAGACUCCACCUGGAUGAUGAGGUUUUGUGGAUUUGCUGCAGAGGUGAUCUCUGGACUUGUGCUUGGGGAAUAUAGGAAAUUAGGUCUGUUACCCUCCAUGCUUCAGUGAAUUGGUAUCCAAACUCUGUGCUGAGCACCCUUGAGAAGGGUCUGCCUGACAAUAGGCCAGAGCACCCAUUUUAUGUAACCCAAAACCAGUCUCUCUUAGGGACACUCCUCAUCUUUCUCUAGUCCCAUGAUUGGAAGGGCCAGAAUCCCCUCUCCUCAAAGAGGGAAACCUCAAGAUACUCCAAUUGAAGCCAUAACCACAGGACUCAUGGAGAUUCAGAAGAGAGACACUCCUUCCUUUCCUGACCAAUGUGGACAACCACAAACAAGCUGGUAGUGUCCCUAGUUACCACACUAACAGCCAGCACCCAAAAAGACAGUUCUUGUGCUUAUCGAGCUGUGAAAUAUCCACCAGAAAUAUACCAGGGUCAUUCUCUUGAAAAUUCCUUUGCUUUGGAUGGCUAGCCUGUGAUUUCAGGUAUUGACACGUAUAUUCAGAAGCAUGAAGUUUUAAUUUCCCCCCUUUUAAUAUCUUCCUCAGGGGUUAUAUAGAGGGCCUCACACUUACUUGAAGGCAGAAGGGUCUGGUUUCAUGGUUUGGGCUCUGGAAUGAGUUGUUUCAUAUGGACAUUAGGCAUGAGUCUUUUUUCACAUGUAGGAAAAGACUUGAGGUGGUCAGCUCACUGGUCCCUUUAUGAUAUAACAUGAUCAAACAUCAUGCCUGUAUAAUUGAUGUUUAGCUCAGGGGACUGAGGCAAGUUGUCUCCAUGAGGUUUCAUAUGGAGAUAAUACUGUUGGUCAAAUUGUACCACCCAUCUGAUGGAUCAUCCUUUGUAUCAGUAUCAACAUACCUCCAGAAAAACAGCUCAGGGUGUCCAUCGUCCAACCCUCAAGAUGUGAGUCUCAGAGCUUCCCACAUGGGGCCUUUCACACCACUCUCCUCUCACAGAGAGUCUGUUGUGUCACAAGACUCGAUGGGCAUCAUGGCAUUGCGGUGGCAAGUAGUUUGCCUGGACCUUUGAGAGGGAAGGCAACUCUGCCCGCUCUGGGCCCAACUGCUCUCUAUAUAAUGAUGACUCUUUCACCAAAUAUGUGUGGCAAUUCAGAGUCAACGUGGUUUUUCAAACGCUACAACCCACAAAUACACAUUACAAAAUCUAAUUUGGAAAUAAAACAUGUGUUUGAAGAAGAUCCACUCCCUAAGUGGCCUGGAAAAUGUAAACAAGGAAAGAGUGAGGAAGAACACCACAUGACCAGCCCUUUACAGGUGAAGGGCUUUUCUGAUGGAUCAUCCAUUACAUCAGUAUCAAUAAACCUCCAGAAUAAGAGCUCAGGGUGCCCAUCACAGAACCCUCAAGGUGUGAGGUUGAGAGUUUCCCACAUGGGGUCCAUCAUGCCCGUCUCAUCUCAUAGAGAGGCUGUGGUGUCACAAGGCUCAAUGGUCAUCAUGCCAUUGCCUUGGCAAAUCCAACUCUUGUGAUUGUCAGACCUACACAGUGACCCACUGACCACCUCAUAUGUACUGUGGUUUACGUGGUCCCAUGUUUAACACAGAGAUCAACACAUUAUCAACCACGUUCACAUCAGGGCUAUAGCAAGUAUUACCUUACUUGCAGCUGACCCCACCUGGAUAAUCAGGUCUUGUGGAUUUUCUGGGGAGGCGGAUAAUUGGAGUCGUGCUUGGGUUAUUUAGGAAAUAAGUCUGUUUCUCUCCAUGUCUCAGUGAAUUGGCAUCUGAACAACUAUCUGAGCACCCUGAGCAGGACCUGGUUGACAACUGGCCAGAGACCAAGAGUUCUGUCACACAAAACCAGUCUCUGUUUGGGUCAAUCCUCAUCCUUCUCUACACCCUCGAUUGACAGAGCCAGAGUCCCCUCUCCUGCAAGAGGGAAACCUCAAGACACUCCAUUUGAAGCCCUCACCACAGGGCUCAUGGAGGAUCAGAAGAGAGACCCUCCUUCCCUUCCUUACAAUUGUGGACACCACAAACAAGCUUGCAGUGGUCCUAGUCACCACCCUAAGAGCCAGCACCCAAAGACAACGUGCUCAUGCUAAUCAACC
RNAcentral lists this long non-coding RNA (5142 nucleotides) under Sus scrofa (pig). Its description in RNAcentral is "lncRNA (ENSSSCG00000053538.1, ENSSSCG00110017089.1)". Lineage: Eukaryota; Metazoa; Chordata; Mammalia; Artiodactyla; Suidae. The record is from RNAcentral.